Molecule: ribosomal RNA, 468 nt
Filed under: uncultured bacterium
Lineage: Bacteria
Description: partial 16S ribosomal RNA
Rfam family: Bacterial small subunit ribosomal RNA
Source: RNAcentral
GAUGAACGCUGGCGGCGUGCCUAACACAUGCAAGUCGAACGGAAAGGCCCUGCUUUUGUGGGGUGCUCGAGUGGCGAACGGGUGGGUAACACGUGAGUAACCUGCCCUUGACUUUGGGAUAACUUCAGGAAACCGGGGCUAAUACCGGAUAGGAGCUCCUGCUGCAGGGUGGGGGUUGGAAAGUUUCGGCGGAUGGGGAUAGACUCGCGGCUUACCAGCUUGGUGGGGGGGUAGGGGCUUACCAAGGCCUUGACGGGUAGCCCGCCUGGGAGGGGGGACGCGCACAAUGGUCCUGCGGUACGGCCCAGACUCCAACGGUGGACAGCGGUCGAAAAUAUUACACAGUGGUCGGGAGCGUGAUACGGAAGCGCCGCGGUCGUAAUGACGGCCUUCGGGUUGUAAACCGCUUUCGCCUAUGACGAAGCGUGAGUGACGGUAAUGGAUAAAGAAGCACCGGCUAACUACGUG